GGCCGCGUGGCUUGCGGCUUAUUUUCCCAGCUGGCAAGCGUCGCGCUGCAGACAAGGGAAUGCCUGUGGUCCUGCGUGUUCCGGAGCUCAGGGAUCCCCUGAUCCCGCCAAGCCCCCUCCAGGAGCGGAAGGGUUAAGAAUGAUACACAGGAGGAAAGAGUACAAGUGGCAAGAAAC
This is a non-coding RNA of Kogia breviceps (pygmy sperm whale), 177 nucleotides long. NCBI's taxonomy places the organism in Eukaryota, Metazoa, Chordata, Mammalia, Artiodactyla, Physeteridae. The record is from RefSeq and is a predicted model, not a curated record.